UACGUAGGGAGCAAGCGUUGUCCGGAAUCAUUGGGCGUAAAGCGCGCGUAGGUGGCUUCGUAAGUCCGUUGUGAAAGUCAAAGGCUCAACCUUUGAAAGCCGAUGGAUACUGCGGAGCUAGAGUACGGAAGAGGCGAGUGGAAUUCCUGGUGUAGCGGUGGAAUGCGCAGAUAUCAGGAGGAACACCAAUAGCGAAGGCAGCUCGCUGGGACGUUACUGACACUGAAGCGCGAAAGCGUGGGGAGCGAACAGG
RNAcentral lists this ribosomal RNA (253 nucleotides) under uncultured bacterium. RNAcentral's name for it is "partial 16S ribosomal RNA". It matches the Rfam family "Bacterial small subunit ribosomal RNA", at positions 524 to 776 of the family's 1533-position model. The record is from RNAcentral.